RNAcentral lists this transfer RNA (73 nucleotides) under Stegodyphus mimosarum. It matches the Rfam family "tRNA". Rfam says of the family: Transfer RNA (tRNA) molecules are approximately 80 nucleotides in length. Their secondary structure includes four short double-helical elements and three loops (D, anti-codon, and T loops). Further hydrogen bonds mediate the characteristic L-shaped molecular structure. tRNAs have two regions of fundamental functional importance: the anti-codon, which is responsible for specific mRNA codon recognition, and the 3' end, to which the tRNAs corresponding amino acid is attached (by aminoacyl-tRNA synthetases). tRNAs cope with the degeneracy of the genetic code in two manners: having more than one tRNA (with a specific anti-codon) for a particular amino acid; and 'wobble' base-pairing, i.e. permitting non-standard base-pairing at the 3rd anti-codon position. The record is from Rfam by way of RNAcentral. Lineage: Eukaryota; Metazoa; Arthropoda; Arachnida; Araneae; Eresidae.
GCCUUCGAGGUGUAAUCUGAAGCACAUCCGACUCGUAAUCGGGAGGUUAGGAGUUCGAGUCUGUGCGAAGGCA